GACGAACGCUGGCGGCGUGCUUAACACAUGCAAGUCGAACGGUGAAGGGACCGGUUUUUGCUGGUUCUGGAUGAGUGGCGAACGGGUGAGUAACACGUGAGUAGCCUGCCCCCUUCUUCUGGAUAACCGCAUGAAAGUGUGGCUAAUACGGGAUAUUCUGCGCCUGCUGCAUGGUGGGUGUGGGAAAGAUAUUGUUUCGGUGGGGGAUGGGCUCGCGGCCUAUCAGCUUGUUGGUGGGGUGAUGGCCUACCAAGGCGGUGACGGGUAGCCGGCCUGAGAGGGUGGACGGUCACACUGGGACGGAGACACGGCCCAGACUCCUACGGGAGGCAGCAGUGGGGAAUAUUGCACAAUGGGCGCAAGCCUGAUGCAGCGACGCCGCGUGAGGGAUGGAGGCCUUCGGGUUGUAAACCUCUUUCGCCAGUGAAGCAGGCCUGUCCCUUUUGUGGGUGGGUUGACGGUAGCUGGAUAAGAAGCGCCGGCUAACUACGUG
This 493-nucleotide ribosomal RNA is filed under the name uncultured bacterium. RNAcentral's name for it is "partial 16S ribosomal RNA". It matches the Rfam family "Bacterial small subunit ribosomal RNA", at positions 28 to 507 of the family's 1533-position model. The record is from RNAcentral.